Molecule: ribosomal RNA, 633 nt
Filed under: Lactobacillus gasseri
Lineage: Bacteria; Bacillati; Bacillota; Bacilli; Lactobacillales; Lactobacillaceae
Description: bacterial SSU rRNA
Rfam family: Bacterial small subunit ribosomal RNA
Source: RNAcentral
UGGACGCAAGUCUGAUGGAGCAACGCCGCGUGAGUGAAGAAGGGUUUCGGCUCGUAAAGCUCUGUUGGUAGUGAAGAAAGAUAGAGGUAGUAACUGGCCUUUAUUUGACGGUAAUUACUUAGAAAGUCACGGCUAACUACGUGCCAGCAGCCGCGGUAAUACGUAGGUGGCAAGCGUUGUCCGGAUUUAUUGGGCGUAAAGCGAGUGCAGGCGGUUCAAUAAGUCUGAUGUGAAAGCCUUCGGCUCAACCGGAGAAUUGCAUCAGAAACUGUUGAACUUGAGUGCAGAAGAGGAGAGUGGAACUCCAUGUGCAGCGGUGGAAUGCGUAGAUAUAUGGAAGAACACCAGUGGCGAAGGCGGCUCUCUGGUCUGCAACUGACGCUGAGGCUCGAAAGCAUGGGUAGCGAACAGGAUUAGAUACCCUGGUAGUCCAUGCCGUAAACGAUGAGUGCUAAGUGUUGGGAGGUUUCCGCCUCUCAGUGCUGCAGCUAACGCAUUAAGCACUCCGCCUGGGGAGUACGACCGCAAGGUUGAAACUCAAAGGAAUUGACGGGGGCCCGCACAAGCGGUGGAGCAUGUGGUUUAAUUCGAAGCAACGCGAAGAACCUUACCAGGUCUUGACAUCCAGUGCAA